GCCAUGUGCCAGCGCUUCCCUGCGCUGUGCGGCCCGGCCGGAGCGCCCCGCUCCACCUGCGGGGCGCCACGCGAAACGUUUCUAAGCGGGUUCCUGGCGAGUCCAUUUUUUUCUUAGUGAGGUAGCAGCCCGGGGAAUAGGUGUGGGAAAGGACAGGGGACACCGGCGUCACGCUGGCCGCAGGGAUCACGCCACAGCCACACGGUUUGGAGGGACAUCCCAAGCCUUGCGGCUUGGAGGGAUCGCCCCUCAGCCACACGGGGGGAUCACCCCACGGCCACGCAGGUUGGAGGGGACAUGCCACGGCCACACAGGUUGGAGGGGACAUCCCACGGCCACACAGGUUGGGGGAAUCACCCCUCAGCCGCACGGGUUGGAGGGCACAUCCCACAGCUGGUUGUGCUGCCAGGAGGAGAAGCUGGUGCCCUCGAGACCCAGAGAAGUUACCAGGGAAGAACCAUUUUUUUGCCUUACAUUUAAAUCAGGCACAAAAUCAGAAUCUUCCAGAAUCCAGCAGCUUGUGAAGACUGUUCUGGGAAGCAAGGCUGAAGGUAACGACACCACCUCGAAUGAAAAGUGGAACAUCUCUCUGGCUAGCUGGUGAUGGAAAAAUUUCCUGUGUCUUUGUUUCUCUAAAAAUUA
Long non-coding RNA from Pyrgilauda ruficollis (rufous-necked snowfinch), 642 nucleotides. RefSeq lists it as uncharacterized. NCBI's taxonomy places the organism in Eukaryota, Metazoa, Chordata, Aves, Passeriformes, Passeridae. The transcript is spliced from 3 exons. The record is from RefSeq and is a predicted model, not a curated record.